AUUCAUGGAGGAGCUGCUGGUGGUUGGGUGGGCGCCCAGCCCCGUCAUGAUGCUGCUGCCUCCCCGGACCUGCGGGGAGCAGCUCAGAGGGCUCUCCUGCCUGCACCACCUGCCCUCUGCAGAGUGUUUUCUUCAUCCAUGCGUUCACUUCACCUCACUCAUCCUCGAAGGGUUGUGUGUUCACAGGGUGUCACACACAUAAUCACAGAAGAGUGUGGGACUUGAGAUGGUGCUAGGAAGAAACGCUCCUGAUGGCGGGUGGUCCCUGGGUGUGGCACAGUCCUUAAACUGGAACAGAUCUCCCUCAGGAGAAGGCGGCACCCUGCCAAGACCACCAGCACCAGGAGCCGAGGGUGGAAGCAGCUGGGUUCCCUCGGAGUCACAUGGCAUGUCACCUGGUGAAGACCACAGGAAAUUUCCAGGGCUGCCUUUCUGGCCCACGGCCGACCUCCGAGGAGCACGUCCUGUGCUGAUCCCUUUGCGCUGACCUCAAACACAGCAAGACUGUUCAGUCUUAUGUUUGUCAGGGACUGACCCUGACCCCACCCUCAGUCCCUUAUGUGACUUUCAGAGCCUUGUCCUGUCAGCUGCUGGACGUUCACAAUGGCCCCUCUGCUGCAUCCACUGGGACCUAGGGACUCUGAACCAUGGAGCGUAAGGAAAGCUACAAGCCCUAGGAGCCCUGACCCUGGGCCCUUCUGCUUCUGCCCCCAGCCUCAGAACACAAUGUAUGACCUCUGGACCCCUCCAGGAGAAGGUGAUGGCGGCACCACGAGGGUUCAUUUGUUUCUUGUUUAUGUCCAUCUGUGUGACGCAGGAACCUGCCAUUUCUAGCACGAUUGUCACCCAAAGUGCCUUCGUGUCUCUGUUUCAUCAAGGUUUCCUUUCAUGACACCCGCUCUUUUUAGAAGCCUGACCCUUGGUCCCAUAACUGCUGUGGCACCCAUUCUGAGAGUGUGGACGAGGCCACGGGCCACCACGACUCACCCACUGCCUGGGUGCCUGGCCGCCAGCCUCUGGGAGGGUGAGAGGCAUCUGUGCUCAGCGUGGGCACCCAGCCAGGGUGGGCGUGCCUGCGGCAGAAGCUCACCCCCUCCUCUGCUCAACUUUUCCCUGUCCUAGAACCCCC
RNAcentral lists this long non-coding RNA (1129 nucleotides) under Sus scrofa (pig). RNAcentral describes it as "lncRNA (ENSSSCG00055010949.1)". Lineage: Eukaryota; Metazoa; Chordata; Mammalia; Artiodactyla; Suidae. The record is from RNAcentral.